Molecule: long non-coding RNA, 3303 nt
Filed under: Sus scrofa (pig)
Lineage: Eukaryota; Metazoa; Chordata; Mammalia; Artiodactyla; Suidae
Description: lncRNA (ENSSSCG00040015848.1)
Source: RNAcentral
GGGGAGUUCCCAGUGUGUUUCAGCAGAAAUAACCCAACUAGCAUCUUUGUUGCUGUGGCACAUAGGCCAGCAGCUACAUCUCUAAUUCAACCCCUAGCCGGAGAACACCUUCGGCCCUAAAAAUAAAAAUAUUGUUUACUACCUAUGGUAACAAUGCGAACUAGACUGAGUUGUGGUGAUCAUUUAGUAAUGUAUACAAAUAUUAAAAUCAUUAUGUUGUAUACCUGAAACUAGCGUAAUUUUAUAUGUCAAUUAUACCUUAGUUUUAAAAAUGAACUUAGGGGAGUUCCCAUUGUGGCUCAGUGGGUUAAGGACCAGUAUCUGUCAGGAUAUAGGUUUGAUCCCUGGCCUUGCUCAGUGGGUUAAGGACCCAGCAUUGCUGCAAGCUGUGGCACAGAUCACAGAUGCAGCUCAGAUCUGGUGUUGCUGUGGUUGUGGUGUAGGCCUGCAGCUGGAGCUCCAAUUUGACCCCUAGCCUGGGAACUUACAUAUGCCACAGGUGUGGCCCUAAAAAGGGGGAAAAACAAAAACAGAGAGAGAAUUUAGGAGUGCUCUGGUGGCUCAGGAGUUAAGGAUCCAAUGUUGUCACUGCUGUGGCUCAGGUCACUGCUGUGGUGCAGGUUUGAUCUCUGGCCCAGGAACUUUCACAUGAUAAAAGCAUAACCUAGGGGGAAAAAAACCUUAAAUUUUUAAAAAACAAGGGAAGUAUGGAAGCAGCGCAAAAGAAUCUGAUGAUGUAAAUAACAUAAGUGACAAAGAGGUCAGGAAUGAGAAAGUGAGCAACAUGAAGAGAAAUACAGAAUUGAAAAGGCGUCUAAAGAAAACAAUAGAUAGGGAGGGCUGGUGAAUGAGAUCCAACAUAUGCAUAAUUGGAAAAUCCAUAAAAGAAAAAGGAAAUAAUGUGUGGUGGACACACCCUAAGGUGGUCCCUUGUACAAUCCCUUGUCCUUGAGUACAGGUAGAAACUAUGCUUUACUUCCAGCCAACAGGAUAUGAGAAAGAUAAAGACAUUUACAUAUGCAAUUAAAAUCCCAAGUAAGGAGUUCCAUCAUGGCUCAGCAGAAAUGAAUGUGACUAGUAACCAUGAGGAUGCAGGUUCAAUCCCCGGCCUUGCUCAGUGGAUUAAGGAUCCAGUGUUGCCGUGAGCUGUGGUGUAGGUUGCAGACGUGGCUUGGAUCUGGCAUUGCUGUGACUGUGGCGUAGGCUGGCACUACAGCUCCGAUUCGACCUCUAGCCUGGGAAUCUCCAUAUGCCAUGGAUAUGGCCCUAGAAAGAAAGAAAGAAAAAAAAAAAUCCCAAAUUUUGAGUUAUUCAAAACAGAUUAUCCUGAGGGGUCUGACUUAAUCAGCUGAAAGCCUUUAAAAGAGGAACUGGAGACCUCCCUGAAGUCAGACAUUUUCUCUCCCUCUGUCUUUGAAGAAUGAAGCUGCCAGAAAAUUACCUUCCAACAACUGGGCCUGGAAGAGGACUCAGCCUCAGAUGAGACUGUGGGUCUGACACCUUAACCUUGUGGUCCUGAGCAGAGGGCACAGUUAUGCCACGCUCAGUCUCCUGCCCACAGAAACCAUGAGAUGAUAAAUGUGUGGUAAGGGAAUUUGUUAUAAACAACAGAUAAUACAUAAUGGAACAGGAAAAUUAUUUAAAGAUAUAAUUGAAGAAAACUUUCCAAAAUGAAAAGCAGAUUUGAAUUUAUAUAUUGAAAGGACACACCAAAAUUCAGAAGAGAAAGGAACAGACUAUCAACAGCAGUACAUAGCCUAGUAAAAUUCCUGAUCUUCAGAGAUAAAGUAUGAAUCAUUUGGGAGGCAAUAUAAAAAGAUGAAGGGCAUUUAUAAGGGCAAAAAAAAAAAUCAGGCUGUCCUCAGACUUGGCCACAAUAACAUCAAUGCUGGUAAAAGCCUAUACAGAGCCCUUUUGGAAAAGAAAGUAUGAACCAGGAAUUUUAUACUAUGCCAAACUGUGUUUGAAGUAUAAAAAUAAGAGAUAUCGGUUUGAAAAUGCAGGAACUAAGGGAAUAUUAUUUUAUCAACCUUUCUUAGAAAAAAUGCACAUAGGAUAAACUCUCAACCAAGAGGUGAUUUAAAAAUAUGGCAAAAGAACUGACAAUGAGCCUUAAGUAUAAAAUAAAUAUGAAGAGUAUGUUUACAGAACACAAUGCCAAUGUUUUCAACCCUGACAACACAGAAAUUAUAAAACAAGCAAAAAAAAAUGUGGGUGGGAAUGGGAGAAAGAGCAGUGUAUUUCGCAGGAAAGUAGGUGAAAAGAAAUAAAAGCAGAAGUUAAUAAAUUAGAAAACAGAAAAUGACAGAACUGGUAAAUAAGCCCAAGAGAUUGUUCUUUGGAAAAAAAACAAAAAUGAAAAACAAAACCCCAGAGUUCCCGUUGUGGUGCAGCAGAAAGGAAUCUGACUAGUAUCCAUGAGGAUGUGGAUUCAAUCCUUGGCGUUGCACAGUGAGUUGGGGAUCCAGUGUUGCUGUGAGCUGUGGUGCAGGCUGGCAGCUGUACCCCUGAGUCAAUCCCUAGCCUAGGAACUUCCAUAUGCCUCGGAUGUGGCCCUAAAAAGCAAAGCAAAACAAACAAAACAAAACAAACAAAGAAACAACAAAAUAACUGCCAAACCCCAAACAUAGAUAAAUCAUCAGCUAACCUAAAUUAAAAAAAAUACAUAUACAAAGUGGGUAAUAAUAAGAAGGAAGUAUCUACAAAUGCAGGAGAAAUUAAAAGAAUAAUGAAGAAUCUCCUCUCACAAUUCUAUGCUGAUAAACUUGAAAUUUUAGAUAAAAUGGAUAAUUUCCUAGGAAAGUGUAUCUUACCUGUACUUAUUCCAGAUAAAAGAAAAAAGUAAACCAAGCCAACAAUCCCAGAAGAAAUAAGAAGUUAUCAACCACUAUUCCUUUCCCAUCCUCUACUCUCAAAACAGGCCCAGAUAGUUUCCAGAGAAAGUCUUCCUAACUAUAAAGGGGAAUAGAGAAUCCCAAUGCUACUCAGUGUUCUGGAAGAAUUCUAAGACCGAGUAAAAGAAUAAAAGUGUUUCUAAGGAAUCGAUGAAAUUCUGAUAACAAAACCUAACAAAGGUAGGAGUUCUACAGCCUCUUUGUCUUCAGCUCAAAGUUACCAUCUUCAGGAUCACCUUGCGUUUGCCAAGAGGACUCUCUGAGUCCACACCAUGCCACAUGGAAGAGGAAUUGGAGGCAUCUGCUAGUUGAAUCAGCUUUCCCCAAAGCCCUGUUCCUACUCCAUCUAAACUGCUUUGGCCAAUGAUGUGGCUUAUGUCCACUCCUAACUACAAGGAAGGCUGGGGAG